GAAGUCGCCGGGAGCCUGAGGGCAGGCGCCGAGGGUAGGGCCCGUGACUGGGGCGAAGUCGUAACAAGGUAGCUGUACCGGAAGGUGCGGCUGGAUCACCUCCUUUCUAAGGAGCA
RNAcentral lists this ribosomal RNA (116 nucleotides) under Thermus antranikianii. Its description in RNAcentral is "partial 16S ribosomal RNA". It matches the Rfam family "Bacterial small subunit ribosomal RNA", at positions 1423 to 1533 of the family's 1533-position model. Lineage: Bacteria; Thermotogati; Deinococcota; Deinococci; Thermales; Thermaceae. The record is from RNAcentral.